UACGUAGGUGGCGAGCGUUGUCCGGAAUUACUGGGUGUAAAGGGAGCGCAGGCGGGGAAGCAAGUCAGCUGUGAAAUCUAUGGGCUUAACCCAUAACGCGCAGUUGAAACUGUUUUUCUUGAGUGGAGUAGAGGUAGGCGGAAUUCCGAGUGUAGCGGUGAAAUGCGUAGAGAUUCGGAGGAACACCAGUGGCGAAGGCGGCCUACUGGGCUCUAACUGACGCUGAGGCUCGAAAGUGUGGGGAGCAAACAGGAUUAGAUACCCUGGUAGU
This 271-nucleotide ribosomal RNA is filed under the name uncultured prokaryote. RNAcentral describes it as "partial 16S ribosomal RNA". It matches the Rfam family "Bacterial small subunit ribosomal RNA", at positions 524 to 794 of the family's 1533-position model. The record is from RNAcentral.